CUUCUCCUUUUACUUCAGUUCCGUUCUUUGUGUUUAAUAUUUUUUUUUAGUUUGUUUUAUGUAGAUUCCAGCAUGUUAGUUAAGGUUUAGUUAUCUAAUUUCAAUAGGAAUAUGAGUUAGUCGUAGCUUUGUUUCGAUUUUAUGUGAAUGCAUAUAUCUUUCGCGCCUUUAUUGAGCUUAUUUCUCUUUUCUUCGAACUUGCGAAGUAUGAACCAUUUACAGGUUUGGUACCCUGUCUGUUCAAAAAAUGAGUUAGUUUAAGAGGAUUAACUCAAAGUAUAGGCUGCUAGAUGAUAUGCCUUAGUUUUUUUUUCCAGAGUACAUAGGAGUUUAGUUUUACAUUAUAGUUUUUUUUUUCAUUUGAAUCUGCUCUUGUCUUCCAUUAAAUGGUUAGCCAUUAGUUGUUCUUUAGUAGUUUAAGAGAGUAUGCUUCUUUUUCCUGAAAUUUUGAUCUGAAAUGGUUGAUAAUAGCUGCUGCUAAUAUGAUUUUCUAAAUCUAUAGUAUAAAGUUCAUUUAGGCCUUAUGAUUAAACAUAUCAUGUUGCGGGGAUUAAGUUAGGCAGAGGUUAAGCUAACAAUUGAUGUAUGGGCUUUCUAUUUUUAAACAUUAUCAAGUCAGUAAUUUUAUAUUAAUGUAAAUAGGUUGAAUCUUCCAUUCGAAACUCAAUCUCCAUGAUCAUUUAGUUUAGAAUUAUUAUUAGUAUAGUUAGCCAAAUUCUCAAACUGGUCUGCUUCCUAUCUUGAACAAUGUUGUCAUCUUUCCUUUCCUAUCUGUUUUUCCUUUAAGGUAAUAUGAGAAUGAAUUUGCUUUCGGUUAAGUUGUUUUCUUUAAUAUUGUGAUAAAAUGAGGUGAUCCACUCUUCAUUUGAAGUCGUACUCUAUUUUCUGGGAAACAUUUGUUGUUGGUUAAGAUAGAGGCCGAUCUUGCCCUUUAGUAUGCGUUUAACUUAAGAUAUGAUAUGCGAAAUUACUUGGUUCUUACACAUCGAUCUUUCUUAAGUUUGCCUCUAUUUUCAGAAUGUUUGGUUUGGUUAAAUUGAUCUGCUCGGAACUCUUGUUUUGAACGUGAUUGAGUAAUAACCAGGAGAGUCUAGAUGUUGUUCAAAUGUUUCUUUUUCCGAAUUAGUGACUAAGUUUCAAUUUGCUAAGUUUAGAAGGAUCUUUCUGUUGAGGUUUUUGUCACUAAUUUAAAUCAGCUAGCUAAGUUCAACAAUGUUUCCUUCCCAGUUUUUUCUUCAUUGUCCUGUUUUAAGGAAGUGUGAUUAUGGUUUAAUGUGAUCUUCCAGAGUCUUUUUCCCUUAUUAUGAGUUUCUGGGAAUGUUUUUGCUUAAGAAACUAAUGUGUUUAAAUUAACUGUUUGCUGUCCUUUGUUUGCUGGAAAUGGCUGAUCAUUUU
Long non-coding RNA from Lycium ferocissimum, 1395 nucleotides. RefSeq lists it as uncharacterized. The transcript is spliced from 2 exons. The record is from RefSeq and is a predicted model, not a curated record. NCBI's taxonomy places the organism in Eukaryota, Viridiplantae, Streptophyta, Magnoliopsida, Solanales, Solanaceae.